RNAcentral lists this long non-coding RNA (530 nucleotides) under Ananas comosus (pineapple). RNAcentral's name for it is "long non-coding RNA (ACOM_LNC006067)". The record is from RNAcentral. Lineage: Eukaryota; Viridiplantae; Streptophyta; Magnoliopsida; Poales; Bromeliaceae.
UUAUUAUAUAUAUAUAUAUAUAUAUAUAUAUAUAUAUAUAUAUAUAUAGAGAGAGAGAGAGAGAGAGAGAGAGAGAGAGAGAGUUGAGCUAUGAUACUUUUACAAGUAUCACCAUCAUGGUGCUAUUAGGUUUUAAGUCAUUGGAUCUACUUUUUGAUUAUUAAUAGCCCUUGGAUUAAAUACUAUUCUACCUACCACCACCUACCACCAUCAUCUCAACCUCACAUCUCUCCAUUCAAGGGCUAAAAACACACAAGUAUCACUCCCAUGAUACUUUUACAAGUAUUCUAGCCCUACUAUAUAUAUAUAUAUAUAUAUAUAUAUAUANCACCAAGUCAUUGGUGCUACCAAGUUUUUGGCCAUUGGAUUAAGAGAUAUGCGGUUAGGAUGAUGUUGGCCCCCUAGGGUUGAGUGGAUAGUUGGCUGAAUAGUAUGAUCUAACGGAUGAAAAUGAUCAAAAGGGUAGAUCUAAUUGCGAAAAACUUGGUAGCACCAAAUGCUUCGUGCUAUUAAUAGCAUAGUAGCCGGAC